RNAcentral lists this ribosomal RNA (497 nucleotides) under uncultured bacterium. RNAcentral describes it as "partial 16S ribosomal RNA". It matches the Rfam family "Bacterial small subunit ribosomal RNA", at positions 28 to 507 of the family's 1533-position model. The record is from RNAcentral.
GAUGAACGCUGGCGGCGUGCCUAAUACAUGCAAGUCGAGCGAACGGACGAGAAGCUUGCUUCUCUGAUGUUAGCGGCGGACGGGUGAGUAACACGUGGAUAACCUACCUAUAAGACUGGGAUAACUUCGGGAAACCGGAGCUAAUACCGGAUAAUAUUUUGAACCGCAUGGUUCAAAAGUGAAAGACGGUCUUGCUGUCACUUAUAGAUGGAUCCGCGCUGCAUUAGCUAGUUGGUAAGGUAACGGCUUACCAAGGCAACGAUGCAUAGCCGACCUAAGAGGGUGAUCGGCCACACUGGAACUGAGACACGGUCCAGACUCCUACGGGAGGAAGCAGUAGGGAAUCUUCCGCAAUGGGCGAAAGCCUGACGGAGCAACGCCGCGUGAGUGAUGAAGGUCUUCGGAUCGUAAAACUCUGUUAUUAGGGAAGAACAUAUGUGUAAGUAACUGUGCACAUCUUGACGGUACCUAAUCAGAAAGCCACGGCUAACUACGUG